GGAGGGCUAUGGCUCCCUGGUAGAGCAUCUGCUUUGCAUGCAGAAGGUCCAGGUCCAAUCUCUGGCAUCUUCA
This is a non-coding RNA of Podarcis lilfordi (Lilford's wall lizard), 73 nucleotides long. The record is from the annotation of a GenBank genome assembly. NCBI's taxonomy places the organism in Eukaryota, Metazoa, Chordata, Lepidosauria, Squamata, Lacertidae.